CCCUUAGAGUUUGAUCCUGGCUCAGAACAAACGCUGGCGGCGUGCCUAAUACAUGCAAGUCGAACGAGGAAGUCCCUUCGGGGAUCGUACUAGUGGCGUACGGGUGAGUAACGCGUGGAUAAUCUUCCUUAAGGUGGGGAAUAACUAGUCGAAAGAUUAGCUAAUACCGCAUAAGACCACAGGAUCUUCGGAUCAAGGGGUUAAAGCCGAAAGGCGCCAUAAGAUGAGUCUGCGCCCGAUUAGCUAGUUGGUGAGGUAAUGGCUCACCAAGGCGACGAUCGGUAGCUGGUCUGAGAGGACGGCCAGCCACACUGGGACUGAGACACGGCCCAGACUCCUACGGGAGGCAGCAGUAGGGAAUAUUGCACAAUGGAGGAAACUCUGAUGCAGCGACGCCGCGUGAGUGACGAAGGCCUUCGGGUUGUAAAGCUCUGUUCUCAGGGAAAAAGCAAGUGAUUGUACCUGAGGAGAAAGGACCGGCUAACUUCGUGCCAGCAGCCGCGGUAAGACGAGGGGUCCAAGCGUUGUUCGGAAUCAUUGGGCGUAAAGCGGGUGUAGGUGGCUCUGUAAGUCAGGAGUGAAAGCCCCGAGCUUAACUCGGGAAGUGCUUUUGAUACUGCAGAGCUUGAAUGUGGGAGAGGAUCGUGGAAUUCCAGGUGUAGUGGUGAAAUACGUAGAUAUCUGGAGGAACACCGGUGGCGAAGGCGGCGAUCUGGCCCAACAUUGACACUGAGACCCGAAAGCGUGGGGAUCAAACAGAUUAGAUACCCUGGUAGUCCACGCCGUAAACGAUGGAUACUUGUUGUUGGAGGUAUUGACCC
This 821-nucleotide ribosomal RNA is filed under the name uncultured bacterium. Its description in RNAcentral is "bacterial SSU rRNA". It matches the Rfam family "Bacterial small subunit ribosomal RNA", at positions 1 to 838 of the family's 1533-position model. The record is from RNAcentral.